UGUAAACCUCUGCGGAGGAGAGUGGAAACUCUCGGGAAAACAAAAGUUUCCCCUCUGGUGCAGAUAUCAAGUGUAUGAUAUGUCUUCACCCAUUUUUUUAACCUGUAUAGCUAAUGAUGUGGAUAAUGUACUCAACUGCCUUGUGCAAAUGCAAGACAUCAAUUCACCACGAACAUUGAGAACAUUUGCCAAGGUACGUAACAUGAAUCUAAAGCCCGUAAGUUGUUAAAUAAAUUAUUUUGUCAAAUUGAGAAUUUUGGCAAUGUAGAGUACCUAGUUUGUUCUGUUGAUUGUUAUUUUGUCCCUUUGUUUGAUGCUUGAUUUGAUGCUUUAACAUGGCGGACAUACAGGUGUCCCAAAAACCCAAAAACUGUUGAAAUAACGUAUUGUUAGAAUAUGAAUGCCUCACAAUUCUGCUGAACCCACAAGUACAUAAAAGCUUGACAUAAGUAAAUUUUAUGCAUAAAGAAACUGUUAAGAAGCCGCUUUAAAUUCCCAGGAGCAGAAAAUCGUGCGCUUUACAAAGAUAUUUUAAUUUCUUAAUAAGUCAGUAUCGUACGCAUCUUUAUGUUCAGCCGUAGUGCUAGGGAAUUCAAAUUCGAACAAUACGUCAUUUCAAUAGUUUUGGGGACACCCUGUAUAGUCACAAUUAUGUCUUGGACUAAGCUAAGAUGUAGAAUUUGGAUUUCGAUGAUUGCGGUUAGUUUCAAAUUUAAUAAAAGUCUUUAUGGGAGCGUUUCUUUUGUCAAUCUAGAUUUGGAUUUUUAGGAUUCGGAUUUUUGGAUUCGUUAAACAAAUGAACGUAUUGUGAGAAUCACCUUUCGCCUGCUAUUUUCCCGCCAUUUUUACUGACAAGUUUUCUGUCCCACUAUACCUUGCAGUCGGGUCAAGGUACAUGCUAGAAGGCCAGAAGCUCAAAAGGACGUUGAAUCCUAGUCAAAUUUCAGAUUGAAUAAAAAAAAUCCGUAUGUUGAGGUGGAUUCAUCAGAUUCGAAUCUAUUUUAAAAUCGAUAAUCGAAUUUGAAGAUUCAAAUCCGGAUUGCACUAAAGGAACGCUCCCCUACAUGCAAUUUCAGUUCGAGAUCGAGCUGGAUUAUUGCUACCCUGGUUGCCAGAGGUUCUGUAUCUUUCGCCUUAUUCUCGCUCGUAUUUAUUUUACGCGAGGCGAAGAGAACCUCUGGUGGCACGCGAUACAAAUCUCUCUUCCUUUGGUACAAAAUUUGUACCAAGCACAUGAUUGGUUAGUUAUAAUUAGCAGUCACAUGAAGUGAUGUGAUUGGCUAGACAAAAAACCUGUUCAUAAAUCUCAGAGAACAUGAUGUAAACAAAAUACAGAAAUAAUACGUAUUAAAACGAUUUACUUAGUGACUUUUAAUAGUUUGUUCGGCUAUAAAAAGAUUUUCUGCACUGAACAAGAGCUGCCAUCGCGGCAUGACUUGAGUCGGACGGCAUGACAUGUUCACUCUAUUACAGUAUUAAUAUUUGUGAAAUAUAGUGUUAGUCACUUGCUUUAUAUCGUUCAAGGUUUUAAAUUUUGAUAAUUCUUUGACUUUAAUAGUUAUUAAUAUGAUUUAUUUUGCCAAUAUUUUUCCGUUGUCUGUUAAUUAAGGGCAACCAUACUGGCUCCGUUGCACACACAUACUAAAUAUUUAUAUAUUUAUAUCUGUGCACUUUUGACUUUAUAGUUUAUAGGCUACGUUCGCUAAUACAAACGGCAUUCCAGAAAUUUAACAAUCAGUAAGAUUGCUUUUUGCUUUGCGAGAAUAAUCUAUACAUGUUUCUAAUGAAUAAUCUACAUGUUUGGGCUGCUUAUUUUUAAUAUUUUACACUAGCCAGCGUGGCCGGCUUUUCUAUUAUAAAAGAGCCGGCCACGCUGCUGAAGAGAGCUAUUUUGGUAGUAUGACAAACCCGGAAGUUUAAAAACGUCACAAAAUAUAAAACCGGUUUUGCAAGUUCUCAAACGGCAACGUCAGCAUGGAAGAGAGAUUUGUAUCGCGUGCCACCAGAAGUUCUCUUCGCCUCGCGUAAAAUAAAUACGAGCGAGAAUAAGGCGAAAGAUACAGAACCUCCGGCAACCAGGGUAGAUUAUUGCUACCACAUGCUUAAAAAUCAAUAAAAUACGAGUUUAAUACUAUCCCUGAUACAAUGUCUCAGUCGAUUCUUGACUAGUAUUUUCUAUAGUGUAUCAAUCUUGAUGCUUUUUAUAGACUCUCGUUGGUCACCUGUCUUCUGGCAGCUCAUUAAACAUGGCUUCUAUACAACCUUGUCAAAAGUCCAAGGUAAGUUUUCUACCUAAUUAUCUGGAUGUAUGAAAGACUUAACUACUUUGUAACUACCUUUUUUGUAUAGUAGUACUCUCAAAUACGCGAUUCUAACUGGUUAACUUUCGCGCUAACUGGAGUUGCAUUUUUAUACAACUGGCUCCAGCUUUUUUGUCAGACUAUCCGGACUAAAGUAUUAUCAUAUUUUUGAUGUUAUUAAAUUAGCGGUAUGACUUGAUAUUAAUUGUUUAAAAAAUUGUUUAAGUUUAAAAAAUUGUUUAAAUAUUUUAACUUCGUGUUUUAUACUUCACACAUUUGAGCCGAAAGUGGCGCAUUUUCCCGUGCAUAAUACAAAUUAAUACAAAAUUUGCAAAUUUCGUAGGGCUAUAUUUUCCGCAUUUUACAACAUUUCGUGUAUUUGGAAGAUAAUCAAGCGAAAUAUAAAUAAUGGUAAUUGCACUGAGUGGAGUGAAAUCUAUUCUGAAAUCAAACGCGUGAUUUCAAAGAUUUAAUCUAUCCGGAGGAAUACUUAGCCUUCCAGAUUUUGUUCCAAUUCCUUCGAAUCUCUCAGGAAUCUAAUUCUGUGUUGACUCUGCAGGCAUCGUUUCGACAGUGCUUUCGUGGUCUGGGUUACGGUUGUUCUCUUCUAUUGCUUUAUGUGUGCUUCGAGGUAUUUCAUCGUUCUCUUCCUCACGCUUCUCUCUUUCGUUUCUUGGGAUGCGUAGAGAAGGUUUCUUCUGCAUGUUCUUUGGUAAAACACCAGUUUCUGUUUGCACAUCAUAUGAUCGAGGUGUGUUGGCUGUUCCAACUACGACGGCUGGUUUUCCCCAUGCGUCGUAUUUUCGGUUUUAAUUCGAACUUGAUUUCCCUUCUUCAAAACUGGCCACGACCUGGAUGAAUUCCGUCUGUUGUAUUAAAACUCGCUGCUCUUCUGGCUAGCUUCGUGUUUCUGUUUCACCUUGUCAUCGUUUCGUACAUACGAGGUUCGUUAUUCUUUGAUAACGUUGGUAGAGUGGUUCUGAUUCGACGAUUCAACAUGACUUCUGAAGGGCUAUAACCAGUAGAUCCUACAGUUGUAGAUCUGUACACCAUCAGAGCGAGACACGGGUCUUCUUGUCGUAAUAUGUUCUUAGCUAUUUUCACAGCACUCUCGGCCAACCCAUUGGAUUGUGAGUAAUAUGGACUCGAGGUAGUGUGCUUGAAUCCAUUACUCUUCACGAAAUUGGAGAAACUCUCGCAUGAAAACUGCGGUCCGUUAUCGCUGACGACUUCUAGCGUAAUUCCCCAUCUGGCGAAGAUACUUUUAAGCUUGGCUAUCACGAGAAAUGAGGUUGCUUUGGACAAGUCCAGAACUUCCAUGUAACAGGAGUAGUAGUCCAUUGCCACGAGAAAUGUUUUUCCUUUGGCUUUGUAAUCCAGGAGGUCAAUACCUAUACGGUUCAAUGGUCUUUCCGGUAGUGGUGAUGAGGUUAGUGGUUCUCGUCUUUGAGCUGCUUUUUCACUUGACACUCUUCACAUCGACCGACUAUACCCUUGAUAUAUUUUCCGAUACCAAAGCAUUCUUUGGCUCUUUCGUCGCACUUGGUGAUUCCCUGAUGACCAUGAUGAAUGGACCAUUUGCAUUAUAGACUAAAUUUUGAUCUAGACAAAUAUUUCAUCACAGCUUGAAAGAGCAUCACAAAAUUAGUAAUAUUCCAAAGUUUCGUUGCGAAAUGUUGUAAAAUGCGGAUAAUAUAGCCUUGCGAAAUUUGCAAUUUUCAGUCAUUUUGUAUUACAAACGGGAAAUUGACAGCCCAAUCGGGUGUUGGGGCAUCAAUUUCCCGUUUGUAAUACAAAAUGACUGAAAAUUGCAAAUUUCGCAAGGCUAUAUUAUCCGCAUUUUACACCAUUUCGCACCGAAAUUUUGGAAUAUUACUAAUUUUGUGAUGCUCUUUCAAGCUGUGAUGAAAUAUUUGUCUAGAUCAAAAUUUAGUCUAUAAUGCAAAUGGUCCAUUACUUCCAAAAGUUUCGACUGCAGGGCAUUCGGAAUGAAAAUUAUCUCGUUAUACACCAAGAGUCCUUCCGCCACCGAAAGAUUCGAUCGAACGGAAUACAGAUCAUGGAGAUCACGUGGGAUGUUGCUACACUUUGUUAGCCAACCAUCAACUGUGAAUUUCCUGGCUUCUUGUAUCACCAAAUCUUUGUCAGCCUCUCUGAUCUCGUCAAGACAAACAUCCGAUACUGUCCAAGAUAUCGUGACCUCGUUAACGUAUAUGCAUUCCAACUUUUUCUACUGUUCGCGUAUCUUCUUCGUCACAAGUAGGUAACGGAUGCCUCGAGGAGAUAUCAGCGUGAUUUCUAAAAUACUCUGUAAUUCAAAGAGGUUAAAUAUGCCUUUCAGACAAUCACUUUCAAAAGUUGUUGGGAUCGAUGUUUGUUUAAAUUAAGGGUUUUGGUGGCAUCUAUCCCAAGACAUUUGAAAGUGAUUGUAGGUUAAACUCAGUUUAGUUUGAAAUUUCUUUUUGUUAAUUGUGAGGUGCAUUCCGUUGUUUGAGAGAGAACCAAUUGUUAUUUUCCUGCCCUCUAUAUUUAUGAGAUUAUUAAAUUGAUACAGGGAAAGUGAGAAGCAACGUUUGACUUCCAGCCGCUGCUGUGGAAUUCAAGAAACCGUUUUGGCACGAGAAUAUUACCAGCUUCACUAAGAAUGGACAAUUGAAUAGCCUGGGAUAUAUUUAUGAUACAAUAUGAUGGAGACUAUGCUGUUGUAAAUAUUCAUGCAAUUCGAGAUAAAUAUAAAUAUUAUAACUAUUAUAUAAAAUAUAAAUAUUAUGACUUUCAAACAAGACAUAGCUAUAUACAGAGUAAAAUUGAUACGUUGACAAGAGUUUAGAGUAUUGACAAGAGAGAUAUAUAUUUACAAGAGUAUGCUACAUUUAAAAAUUACUAAAACGGUUGC
This is a non-coding RNA of Paramuricea clavata, 5196 nucleotides long. NCBI's taxonomy places the organism in Eukaryota, Metazoa, Cnidaria, Anthozoa, Malacalcyonacea, Plexauridae. The record is from the annotation of a GenBank genome assembly.